Molecule: ribosomal RNA, 445 nt
Filed under: uncultured bacterium
Lineage: Bacteria
Description: partial 16S ribosomal RNA
Rfam family: Bacterial small subunit ribosomal RNA
Source: RNAcentral
UCCAGACUCCUACGGGAGGCAGCAGUGGGGGAUAUUGCACAAUGGGGGGAACCCUGAUGCAGCGACGCCGCGUGGGUGAAGAAGCGCCUCGGCGCGUAAAGCCCUGUCAGCAGGGAAGAAAAUGACGGUACCUGAAGAAGAAGCCCCGGCUAACUACGUGCCAGCAGCCGCGGUAAUACGUAGGGGGCAAGCGUUAUCCGGAUUUACUGGGUGUAAAGGGGGCGCAGACGGCGAUGCAAGCCAGGAGUGAAAGCCCGGGGCCCAACCCCGGGACUGCUCUUGGAACUGCGUGGCUGGAGUGCAGGAGGGGCAGGCGGAAUUCCUGGUGUAGCGGUGAAAUGCGUAGAUAUCACGCAGAACCCCGAUUGCGAAGGCAGCAUACCGGUGCACAACUGACGCUCAGGCACGAAAGCGUGGGUAUCGAACAGGAUUAGAUACCCCAGUA